Molecule: ribosomal RNA, 1548 nt
Filed under: Bacillus subtilis
Lineage: Bacteria; Bacillati; Bacillota; Bacilli; Caryophanales; Bacillaceae
Description: 16S ribosomal RNA
Rfam family: Bacterial small subunit ribosomal RNA
Source: RNAcentral
UUAUCGGAGAGUUUGAUCCUGGCUCAGGACGAACGCUGGCGGCGUGCCUAAUACAUGCAAGUCGAGCGGACAGAUGGGAGCUUGCUCCCUGAUGUUAGCGGCGGACGGGUGAGUAACACGUGGGUAACCUGCCUGUAAGACUGGGAUAACUCCGGGAAACCGGGGCUAAUACCGGAUGGUUGUUUGAACCGCAUGGUUCAAACAUAAAAGGUGGCUUCGGCUACCACUUACAGAUGGACCCGCGGCGCAUUAGCUAGUUGGUGAGGUAACGGCUCACCAAGGCAACGAUGCGUAGCCGACCUGAGAGGGUGAUCGACCACACUGGGACUGAGACACGACCAGACUCCUACGGGAGGCAGCAGUAGGGAAUCUUCCGCAAUGGACGAAAGUCUGACGGAGCAACGCCGCGUGAGUGAUGAAGGUUUUCGGAUCGUAAAGCUCUGUUGUUAGGGAAGAACAAGUACCGUUCGAAUAGGGCGGUACCUUGACGGUACCUAACCAGAAAGCCACGGCUAACUACGUGCCAGCAGCCGCGGUAAUACGUAGGUGGCAAGCGUUGUCCGGAAUUAUUGGGCGUAAAGGGCUCGCAGGCGGUUUCUUAAGUCUGAUGUGAAAGCCCCCGGCUCAACCGGGGAGGGUCAUUGGAAACUGGGGAACUUGAGUGCAGAAGAGGAGAGUGGAAUUCCACGUGUAGCGGUGAAAUGCGUAGAGAUGUGGAGGAACACCAGUGGCGAAGGCGACUCUCUGGUCUGUAACUGACGCUGAGGAGCGAAAGCGUGGGGAGCGAACAGGAUUAGAUACCCUGGUAGUCCACGCCGUAAACGAUGAGUGCUAAGUGUUAGGGGGUUUCCGCCCCUUAGUGCUGCAGCUAACGCAUUAAGCACUCCGCCUGGGGAGUACGGUCGCAAGACUGAAACUCAAAGGAAUUGACGGGGGCCCGCACAAGCGGUGGAGCAUGUGGUUUAAUUCGAAGCAACGCGAAGAACCUUACCAGGUCUUGACAUCCUCUGACAAUCCUAGAGAUAGGACGUCCCCUUCGGGGGCAGAGUGACAGGUGGUGCAUGGUUGUCGUCAGCUCGUGUCGUGAGAUGUUGGGUUAAGUCCCGCAACGAGCGCAACCCUUGAUCUUAGUUGCCAGCAUUCAGUUGGGCACUCUAAGGUGACUGCCGGUGACAAACCGGAGGAAGGUGGGGAUGACGUCAAAUCAUCAUGCCCCUUAUGACCUGGGCUACACACGUGCUACAAUGGACAGAACAAAGGGCAGCGAAACCGCGAGGUUAAGCCAAUCCCACAAAUCUGUUCUCAGUUCGGAUCGCAGUCUGCAACUCGACUGCGUGAAGCUGGAAUCGCUAGUAAUCGCGGAUCAGCAUGCCGCGGUGAAUACGUUCCCGGCCUUGUACACACCGCCCGUCACACCACGAGAGUUUGUAACACCCGAAGUCGGUGAGGUAACCUUUUAGGAGCCAGCCGCCGAAGGUGGGACAGAUGAUUGGGGUGAAGUCGUAACAAGGUAGCCGUAUCGGAAGGUGCGGCUGGAUCACCUCCUUU